Non-coding RNA from Drosophila pseudoobscura pseudoobscura, 85 nucleotides. The record is from Rfam. NCBI's taxonomy places the organism in Eukaryota, Metazoa, Arthropoda, Insecta, Diptera, Drosophilidae.
GGGCUUAUAUUUGUAUUUUUGCUCGGACAUUUAUGUACAAUUUGAACGUCAUAGAUGGUUGCAGCAUAAAUAGAAUUAUUAGCCC